UACGAAGGGGGCUAGCGUUGUUCGGAUUUACUGGGCGUAAAGCGCACGUAGGCGGAUCGAUCAGUCAGGGGUGAAAUCCCAGAGCUCAACUCUGGAACUGCCUUUGAUACUGUCGAUCUGGAGUAUGGAAGAAGUGAGUGGAAUUCCGAGUGUAGAGGUGAAAUUCGUAGAUAUUCGGAGGAACACCAGUGGCGAAGGCGGCUCACUGGUCCAUUACUGACGCUGAGGUGCGAAAGCGUGGGGAGCAAACAGG
RNAcentral lists this ribosomal RNA (253 nucleotides) under uncultured bacterium. RNAcentral describes it as "partial 16S ribosomal RNA". It matches the Rfam family "Bacterial small subunit ribosomal RNA", at positions 524 to 776 of the family's 1533-position model. The record is from RNAcentral.